AGCUGGAGUACCACUUCUGGAGAAGCAAGACUUGUCAUUCUUUCACAUGGCCUCUAUACAUGCACUAGCUCAGUAUAUGUCUCACAGCCUCCCAGAAAUACAACUCUUGAGUUUUUUUCCUUCUUUUCUUACAAGCCAAGAGAAAACAACAAACCAAAGAAAACAAACAAAAACAAAAACCAUAAAAACAACAAAAACAAACAAACAUACAAGCAUACACAAAAAAAGGAUAUACUUUCCAAUAGAGCAUUCUCAUUAACAUAUGAAUUGUUAAUAUAUCUCCCUAAAGAUCCAGCCAAACAUGGUCUUUCACACCAACAAUCCUAACUGUUUUUAGAGGCAGAGAUAAGAAGGGCAAAUUCAAGUCCUGUCUAAGAUACAGGAAAAGUUCCAGUUUGAUAAUUUACUGGGAUUGUGUUUACACAAUAAAAAAUAAAAAGGAGCUUAAGAACUUAAGAGCCUUGCCUGUUCUCCCUACAGAUUUCAGUUCAGUUCCCAGCAAUGUCAUGUAGGUUUAAGCACCAAGAAAGCAAGCACAUGGCAAACAGAUACGCGAAUGUGAAAAAUUCCCAUACAUA
RNAcentral lists this long non-coding RNA (578 nucleotides) under Rattus norvegicus (Norway rat). Its description in RNAcentral is "long non-coding RNA NONRATT000256". Lineage: Eukaryota; Metazoa; Chordata; Mammalia; Rodentia; Muridae. The record is from RNAcentral.